AUAACUCAAACAUAACUAA
RNAcentral lists this small nuclear RNA (19 nucleotides) under Arabidopsis thaliana (thale cress). RNAcentral describes it as "snRNA_08822". Lineage: Eukaryota; Viridiplantae; Streptophyta; Magnoliopsida; Brassicales; Brassicaceae. The record is from RNAcentral.